Vigna unguiculata (cowpea) is the source of this 1093-nucleotide long non-coding RNA. The record is from RefSeq and is a predicted model, not a curated record. NCBI's taxonomy places the organism in Eukaryota, Viridiplantae, Streptophyta, Magnoliopsida, Fabales, Fabaceae.
AAUUAAAAAACAAAAAUUCAUAAUGGAUUAAUACACCAUUAUGAGCGAACUGGCUCGCAUUUUAAAGAAUCCUCAAGACUUGAGGACAAAAUUUUAUUUUCAGAAAAAAUAUGCAUACAAGCUUAUCCAUGUAAGUUCAGUGAGAAGUGGUGAUACAAAUGGCAAGAGUAUUGGGGUUCAAACAUGCUGCAUCUAGUGGAGUUGCACACUCCAGCUUAUCAACUGCAUUUCUGAUUUUUUUUUUAAACAAAAGGUUCAACAAAACAUUAAUGGAUAAAAUAAUUUCUUUUAUUAUUUUUUAAAAUUAAUCUGGCCUGUGCCUCUCAUUUGUCACUAAGCUAAUUUUAUCAAAAUUGCCUGCAACACAUAGGAUUUCCCAAAUGACAUGCACAUCCACUGAAAAGCAUUCUAUGGUUGGCUUAUGCCGUAUCAUUGCUCCAAAUAGUGGAAUUGUCAGAUUGCCACACUUGAAAAAAAUGAGGUUCCCGCAGCAAACAAUCUGGGUGAGGUCAUAGAAACCUUUUGAAAGAGACCUUAUUAUUUUGUUUGAUUCCUAAAUUGUUGUGUGUUGGUACAACCCUCAACUCACCUCUGCUGCCAUCCUUUUACACUCCUCUGGUUCUUCCCUCGCACUAAUGGUCCUUUCUGGUUAUUUCCUCACUCUUCUAUUUGGCCCCUAUUUCUUUGGUUCCCUUUCUUUGCUGCAUGAUCUGUUUUGUUGUCAAGGAAAAUGGAUGUUUUUCUGUGUGCUCUUUAUGAGUAACUGUUAGGUUUCUUAGAGCUAGAAACCCAAGCUACUCGGGCAGAACUCACUCACACCAACACAGAAAGAAACAGAAACAAACUUUUAUUAUUCUCUCAAAGAAUGCGUCCAGGGAAAGACAACAAUUCCCCCCUCACAGGAUCUGUUAUGACUCCUGUUUACACUUACAAAAACAAAACGAAUACCCCCUUUUACAACACUACCCCCCUUCUUAUUUAUACUUUUCCUAAAACAAACUUUCAUUCCCCAACAACCUACUAACAGACUAACUAACUAACUAACUCAGUUCUUAUUUCUUCUCACAUACACCUUUAAUAUUCUAUCAGUAAC